Molecule: ribosomal RNA, 253 nt
Filed under: uncultured bacterium
Lineage: Bacteria
Description: partial 16S ribosomal RNA
Rfam family: Bacterial small subunit ribosomal RNA
Source: RNAcentral
GACGAACCGUGCGAACGUUGUUCGGAAUCACUGGGCUUAAAGGGCGCGUAGGCGGGUCACCAAGUCUGUGGUGAAAGCCUCCAGCUUAACUGGAGAAGUGCCGUGGAUACUGGUGGUCUCGAGGGAGGUAGGGGCAUGUGGAACUUCCGGUGGAGCGGUGAAAUGCGUUGAUAUCGGAAGGAACGCCGGUGGCGAAAGCGGACUGCUGGACCUUUUCUGACGCUGAGGCGCGAAAGCCAGGGGAGCGAACGGG